AUGUGUCGGCAUAUAUUGUUCUAUAUGGUUUCUUACGCAUAUAUUGAUUUUUUGCAUUUGUUUUGUAAAACCAGAAACAUGUCAAAUUCGUAUACUUUUGCACUAGAAUCGGGCGGUGGCUGGGGACUGGGAGACGUCUCCUUGAUGGGUGCUGGUGGGCGUAGUUUAGUUCUCAGUAGUUUUGCGCCAAAGGACAUCAAGCUUGGUAUAGCUUGUUGGUGUGAGAACAAAAAAUCUCUUAUCAGAUCAAUUGGUCUAGGUGGGAUUCUUACCAUGCCUGAUAUGCAGACAUUCAACCGAGAUUUCACACAGUUGCUCUAUCAACGGGUAGAUAGUAAUGAACGUUGCCUCAGAGUCGGAGUCAAAGAGGUUGUAGGGAUAAACGAGAUCCAGGUAUCUAGAGUGCUAGGCAUUAGAUAUGGUGGAUCUGUAUCUAUUAAAAGAGAUGAUGGGAUCCCAAGCAUUGAAGACGUAAGGAACGCAAGGGUUAUGUUAUGUCUGGUUAAAGAUGGUUUGCAAAAUACGAAAGAGAUAACAGUUCCAGAGGUGAUCGAGGUCCUGCGUAGAGUUUGCAGCAAUCCAAUGACUAUUCAAGAAGAGGUUAUGACAAAGGUGGCCUUUGUAAUGCUUUGUACGGCAGUUUUUUCUGUCCAAGAGAGAGUCGGACAUCGAUACCUUUAG
Molecule: ribosomal RNA, 681 nt
Filed under: Triticum aestivum (bread wheat)
Lineage: Eukaryota; Viridiplantae; Streptophyta; Magnoliopsida; Poales; Poaceae
Description: partial small subunit ribosomal RNA
Source: RNAcentral